CUCCAGACUCCUACGGGAGGCAGCAGUGGGGAAUAUUGCACAAUGGGGGAAACCCUGAUGCAGCGACGCCGCGUGAGCGAGGAAGUAUUUCGGUAUGUAAAGCUCUGUCAGCAGGGAAGAAGAAUGACGGUACCUGAAGAAGAAGCACCGGCUAAAUACGUGCCAGCAGCCGCGGUAAUACGUAUGGUGCAAGCGUUAUCCGGAUUUACUGGGUGUAAAGGGAGCGCAGGCGGUUCUGCAAGUCUGAUGUGAAAGCCCGGGGCUCAACCGCGGGACUGCAUUGGAAACUGCGGGACUGGAGUAUCGGAGGGGGAAGCGGAAUUCCUGGUGUAGCGGUGAAAUGCGUAGAUAUCAGGAGGAACACCGGUGGCGAAGGCGGCCUGCUGGACUGCGACUGACGUUGAGGCCCGAAAGCGUGGGGAGCAAACAGGAUUAGAUACCCGUGUAAAA
Molecule: ribosomal RNA, 450 nt
Filed under: uncultured bacterium
Lineage: Bacteria
Description: partial 16S ribosomal RNA
Rfam family: Bacterial small subunit ribosomal RNA
Source: RNAcentral